RNAcentral lists this ribosomal RNA (269 nucleotides) under uncultured Geobacillus sp. Its description in RNAcentral is "partial 16S ribosomal RNA". It matches the Rfam family "Bacterial small subunit ribosomal RNA", at positions 1110 to 1382 of the family's 1533-position model. Lineage: Bacteria; Bacillati; Bacillota; Bacilli; Caryophanales; Anoxybacillaceae. The record is from RNAcentral.
UCUAGUUGCCAGCAUUCGGUUGGGCACUCUAGAGGGACUGCCGGCGACAAGUCGGAGGAAGUGGGAUGACGUCAAAUCAUCAUGCCCCUUAUGACCUGGGCUACACACGUGCUACAAUGGGCGGUACAAAGGGCUGCGAACCCGCGAGGGGGAGCGAAUCCCAAAAAGCCGCUCUCAGUUCGGAUUGCAGGCUGCAACUCGCCUGCAUGAAGCCGGAAUCGCUAGUAAUCGCGGAUCAGCAUGCCGCGGUGAAUACGUUCCCGGGCCUU